RNAcentral lists this microRNA (21 nucleotides) under Meleagrid alphaherpesvirus 1 (Turkey herpesvirus). RNAcentral describes it as "hvt-miR-H16-3p". Its record names the gene hvt-miR-H16-3p. The record is from miRBase by way of RNAcentral. Lineage: Duplodnaviria; Heunggongvirae; Peploviricota; Herviviricetes; Herpesvirales; Orthoherpesviridae.
UAAAUAGCCCCGAUUUGACAG